CGUAUGGGAGCGAGCGUUGUCCGGGAAUUUAUUGGGGCGUAAAAGGGUACGCAGGCGGUUUUAAUAAGUCGAAUGUUAAAGAUCGGGGGCUCAACCCCGUAAAGCAUUGGAAACUGAUAAACUUGAGUAGUGGAGAGGAAAAGUGGAAUUCCUAGUGUAGUGGUGAAAUACGUAGAUAUUAGGAGGAAUACCAGUAGCGAAGGCGACUUUCUGGACACAAACUGACGCUGAGGUACGAAGGCGUGGGGAGCAAACAGGAUU
RNAcentral lists this ribosomal RNA (261 nucleotides) under uncultured bacterium. Its description in RNAcentral is "partial 16S ribosomal RNA". It matches the Rfam family "Bacterial small subunit ribosomal RNA", at positions 526 to 779 of the family's 1533-position model. The record is from RNAcentral.